This 416-nucleotide ribosomal RNA is filed under the name uncultured bacterium. RNAcentral describes it as "bacterial SSU rRNA". It matches the Rfam family "Bacterial small subunit ribosomal RNA", at positions 355 to 786 of the family's 1533-position model. The record is from RNAcentral.
UCGGGAAUAUUGCGCAAUGGAGGAAACUCUGACGCAGUGACGCCGCGUGCAGGAAGAAGGUUUUCGGAUUGUAAACUGCUUUAGACAGGGAAGAAACAAGACAGUACCUGUAGAAUAAGCUCCGGCUAACUACGUGCCAGCAGCCGCGGUAAUACGUAGGGAGCAAGCGUUAUCCGGAUUUAUUGGGUGUAAAGGGUGCGUAGACGGGAAUGCAAGUUGGUUGUGAAAUCCCUCGGCUCAACCGAGGAAUUGCAACCAAAAUCUAUAUUUCUUGAGUGCUGGAGAGGAAAGUGGAAUUCCUAGUGUAGCGGUGAAAUGCGUAGAUAUACGGAGCAACACCAGUGGCGAAGGCGGCCUGCUGGGCACUAACUGACGCUGAGGCUCGAAAGCAUGGGUAGCAAACAGGAUUAGAUACC